RNAcentral lists this long non-coding RNA (1016 nucleotides) under Citrus x clementina. RNAcentral's name for it is "Citrus clementina (C. clementina) long non-coding RNA (CCLE_LNC000944)". The record is from RNAcentral. Lineage: Eukaryota; Viridiplantae; Streptophyta; Magnoliopsida; Sapindales; Rutaceae.
AACUGCUAAUUAGAUUGCGCGGUGCAUAUUUUUAUAUUGUUAAUACUAAAAAAAAAAAUUAUAGCAUCAUGAAGAGAUCCAUCAACUUACUAAUGAGAUAGUCUUAAAGUUAAAAUUAAGCAUGACUAUGAAGACAGUGGUUUGAGUCCCUAUUGACUCAACCACUUUCAAUUAAGUAUAAUUGUGUGGAGUUAAUUUAUAAGUUUUUUUUUUCUAAUGAAAUGCUAGUGGAGCAAAAUUAUUUUUCGUUUGUAAGAAUUAUUUGUCUGGAUAUUUACUUCAUAAAAUUUAAUGCAAUAAUAUAAAUUCUAGUAAUAUAUUUAAUUGUAAAUAUUAAUAUAAUGAUAUGCUGUAAUAAUAAUUAUAAAUAUUUAUCUUAUAUAAUAAUAUGAUGUGUAAUUAAUAUUAAAAAAAAAACUUACUAAUGAGAUGCCGUAACGUGUUACAAAACCGCGCCUUGCGUCGAAUAAGUGACGAAAAUGUGAUCCAACCACAAGAGGGUACAAGACAAAGGGAAACCACCACGCAGGCGGCAGGCACCCACUUUAGUGGAGAAAAUUUAAUGUAGUCUAGAAGUUUCACUCACGUUAGCGGACAAACAAUCCAUAUACAUAUAGUACUUCGCUGUAUGUAUAAUUGACAGGAAAAAAAAUGGGAAAUUUACGAAAAUAACCAUAAAUAUUUUGUUAUUUUCCCAACUAACCUUCUCAACUUUUUUCUAUCAACAUUAGCCAAACACAAGCCUUUCUCCCCAAAUUACCCUUCUUUACAGAUCAAAAGCAACAAUCUUUCUCCCAUAUCGGCAAACCAAACGCAGCUUAAUCAUCAACCAACGUCGACGGCAAAAGACAACAGUAAAGGUGAAAUCCGAUCAUAAUCUAUCCGAAUCCAACACUAAUCGACAUCACUUAGUGGUAUGUGUUAUUUUCUGAACUUGCUUAACUGAGUCGUGGGUGAAUCUGACGACAGGCUGCCUGUCGCACCAAAAAUUUCUGCCUACAGGAGCGACAGGCUGC